This 23-nucleotide ribosomal RNA is filed under the name Omphalina cf. pyxidata. RNAcentral's name for it is "partial small subunit ribosomal RNA". Lineage: Eukaryota; Fungi; Basidiomycota; Agaricomycetes; Agaricales; Omphalinaceae. The record is from RNAcentral.
GUAGUGACCUGCGGAGGWCAUUA